This 461-nucleotide ribosomal RNA is filed under the name uncultured Curtobacterium sp. RNAcentral's name for it is "bacterial SSU rRNA". It matches the Rfam family "Bacterial small subunit ribosomal RNA", at positions 920 to 1382 of the family's 1533-position model. Lineage: Bacteria; Bacillati; Actinomycetota; Actinomycetes; Micrococcales; Microbacteriaceae. The record is from RNAcentral.
CCCGCACAAGCGGCGGAGCAUGCGGAUUAAUUCGAUGCAACGCGAAGAACCUUACCAAGGCUUGACAUACACCGGUAACGCCCAGAGAUGGGUGCCCCUUUGUGGUCGGUGUACAGGUGGUGCAUGGUUGUCGUCAGCUCGUGUCGUGAGAUGUUGGGUUAAGUCCCGCAACGAGCGCAACCCUCGUCCUAUGUUGCCAGCGGGUCAUGCCGGGGACUCAUGGGAGACUGCCGGGGUCAACUCGGAGGAAGGUGGGAUGACGUCAAAUCAUCAUGCCCCUUAUGUCUUGGGCUUCACGCAUGCUACAAUGGCCGGUACAAAGGGCUGCGAUACCGCGAGGUGGAGCGAAUCCCAGAAAGCCGGUCUCAGUUCGGAUUGGGGUCUGCAACUCGACCCCAUGAAGUCGGAGUCGCUAGUAAUCGCAGAUCAGCAACGCUGCGGUGAAUACGUUCCCGGGCCUU